RNAcentral lists this long non-coding RNA (1030 nucleotides) under Gadus morhua (Atlantic cod). RNAcentral's name for it is "lncRNA (ENSGMOG00000031771.1)". Lineage: Eukaryota; Metazoa; Chordata; Actinopteri; Gadiformes; Gadidae. The record is from RNAcentral.
GGGAUGCAAUUAAUAAUUUCAAAUAUAGUUUAGUCGAUUUUUGUCGAAUAUAAAACUAUUAACUUCAUUAUGAUUAACUAUAUUGCAAUAUAUUUGUGUGAUUAAUUUCCUGAAACAAUUCCAUGGUAACGUCUCUGCCACCAGUCGGUGAGUGUAAUUUGUUGACGGUCCCUAAAACAGGUAGCAGCCAGAACGUAAAUGACGUUGUUGCACAGACAUUGAUGGCGCCAACAUGUGUUUGUGAUUUUUGCGAUGGUGUCCUAAACCGUCCUCAACAUACUAAGCCCUAUGGAAGCCUUCAAAUCCCAGAUGUGGAGACUGCAGGGAUACCUCACAGAGAAUACACUAAAGAGUCAUCUCUCAUUCAUCGAGUGGACUCAUUGGUUUGCGAAUGACCACAAAGAUGCUCCCAUAGGCAGAUUGCUGCAUGGCAUUCACCACUUAUUCAAAUUGUAGAGUUUGAAGCAGUCUUCCUUGUGGUCACUUGCCAUAACACUGUCAUGUGUAUUAUGAAAACACCAUCAGUAACAUUUAAAUUGAGUUGAUGUGGACGGCUCUUUUUUUGUCCGAUUUCUUCAGUGUUCAGUGCCUGUUUGUGAGAUAUGCAUUGUUUGAAAGAUAAGCCUUUGAUUUGUUUAAUUUUAAUAUGCCUUUCAUCAACAGUGGUUUGGGAUUUUAUAACAAUUAAAGUGCUUAACUACUGGUUAACGAUGUUGCAGAACAUAUAUGGUUUGUGUUGAUUGCAUGGAGAAGGGAAUAACCAGUUACAACUUGUAUGGUAAGAGCCUGGUAAUACCAUGGAAACAAACAAGGCUUCCUUUUACAGUACAGUUUCAGCUUAAUUACUGGGUAAAUUGUCGUGUUUUACUUGGUAACGUCGCAGAACGUACAUGGUACAAGUUUGUUUUGACUGCAUGGAACAGGGAAUAACGUAUUACAAAUGAUAUGGUAAGAACCUGGUAAUACCAUGGAAACAAACGAGGCUUCCUUUUACAGUACAGUUUCAGGUUACUUACCGGGUCAAUUGUCG